AUUGAACGCUGGCGGAAUGCUUUACACAUGCAAGUCGAACGGCAGCACGGACUUCGGUCUGGUGGCGAGUGGCGAACGGGUGAGUAAUGUAUCGGAACGUGCCCAGUCGUGGGGGAUAACGUAGUGAAAAUUACGCUAAUACCGCAUACGAUCUAUGGAUGAAAGCGGGGGAUCGCAAGACCUCGCGCGAUUGGAGCGGCCGAUAUCAGAUUAGGUAGUUGGUGGGGUAAAGGCCCACCAAGCCAACGAUCUGUAGCUGGUCUGAGAGGACGACCAGCCACACUGGAACUGUGACACGGUCCAGACUCCUACGGGAGGCAGCAGUGGGGAAUUUUGGACAAUGGGCGAAAGCCUGAUCCAGCCAUUCCGCGUGCAGGAUGAAGGCCCUCGGGUUGUAAACUGCUUUUGUACAGAACGAAAAGGUUUCUACUAAUACUAGGAGCUCAUGACGGUACUGUAAGAAUAGGCACCGGCUAACUACGUGCCAGCCGCCGCGGUAA
Molecule: ribosomal RNA, 500 nt
Filed under: uncultured bacterium
Lineage: Bacteria
Description: partial 16S ribosomal RNA
Rfam family: Bacterial small subunit ribosomal RNA
Source: RNAcentral